UACGAAGGGGGCUAGCGUUGCUCGGAAUCACUGGGCGUAAAGGGUGCGUAGGCGGGUCUUUAAGUCAGGGGUGAAAUCCUGGAGCUCAACUCCAGAACUGCCUUUGAUACUGAAGAUCUUGAGUUCGGGAGAGGUGAGUGGAACUGCGAGUGUAGAGGUGAAAUUCGUAGAUAUCUGGAAGAACACCAAAGGCGAAGGCAGUGUCCUGGGUGGUCGCUGACGCUGAGAGGCGAAAGCCAGGGGAGCGAACGGG
This 253-nucleotide ribosomal RNA is filed under the name uncultured bacterium. Its description in RNAcentral is "partial 16S ribosomal RNA". It matches the Rfam family "Bacterial small subunit ribosomal RNA", at positions 524 to 776 of the family's 1533-position model. The record is from RNAcentral.